UGUUCACUCAUUUCAUUGUGGUGCAGAAAAACAAAAAUGCGGGAAUUUACGCCGCAGCUUACAUGAUAGAGUUAAAAUUACCGCUGUUCGCGACGAAAGUUUCAACAAACAAAAUUGUAUUUUUAUUGUUUGUAGGCUAUGGGAUCGCGCACUUCGAUAGAAAAGCGUGAGUUAGUUUUGGAGCAUUUCAAAAAAAGAAUGUCGCGUCGUAAUUAUACAUUUCAGUUCAUUAUACAUUUGCACAUUCAGCACAUUUGCGAAUGCUUUCUGCAUGAAAAUCGUGUGUCAAAUAAAGGACGACACGCUCCAAAUAAAACUUUGACAGAGAAAAAAGUUCAGUGAUUAGUGUGCCAAGUGAAAAUAAAAAAAAAAAUCCGGCAAUAUGCCGUCCAAAGUUCAUUGAAAUCGCCAACAAGGAUUUAGGUAAGACUUGCCAUACAGAAACUGUUCAAAAAAUUCUGAGGGACGCAAAUUUAAAUGGUAGAAGCGGUCGUAAUAAACCUUUCAGCUCAGUACUUUUUACAGAUAGUACAGUACUUUUUCCAGAUAGCAGCUCUUUAAUUUGACGCGAGGCCAAUAUGGAGCUCAAAUUCCGAAAUUUGCGAGCUACUACAAAAUGCGGCGGUGGCAACAUUGGGCAUACAUAUCAGUUGGAAAAUUUACCUUCAUCGAAGAAACAAUGAACAAAAGUGUUUAUUUAAAAUCUCUGCAAGAAAAUUUGGCUCAAAACGCUUGAUAAUUCCAAAUUGAAGAUGAUUUCGCUUUCAGCAGGGUAGGGACCCUAAGCACAGUCACAAAUAAUACAAACAUCAUCAUAAAUUCCUAGAGUUCCAGCGUGGAACAUGGUUAACAUAUAAAAUGUCCCCCCCAUUGUUGAAACUUCUGCACAAUCACCGGAUUUGAACGUCAUUGAAAAUUUGUGGCUGACAAAUAUAAGAAAAUAUGACAUCCAUAACAAAUUUGAUCUUAAAAAGACUAGUUCAGUAUACACAAAAAACUUGAUUAGCUCUAUGCCACGCAGACUUGAAGCUGUAAUUGAUAAUAAAGGAUACACAACACAGUACUAAAUACCUAACAAUUUUAAAAAUUAAAAAUAAAUAGUUGCUCUUUUUUAAGUUGCAUCAUUUAAGCUGUGGCGCUAAUUCUCUGUAUGUUUUUGUUUUUUUCAUUACAAUGAAAGGA
Anastrepha obliqua is the source of this 1182-nucleotide long non-coding RNA. RefSeq lists it as uncharacterized. The transcript has 3 exons. Lineage: Eukaryota; Metazoa; Arthropoda; Insecta; Diptera; Tephritidae. The record is from RefSeq and is a predicted model, not a curated record.